Non-coding RNA from Pelobates cultripes (western spadefoot toad), 222 nucleotides. The record is from the annotation of a GenBank genome assembly. Lineage: Eukaryota; Metazoa; Chordata; Amphibia; Anura; Pelobatidae.
CCUCGCUGUCAUUUCAGACUAAAUAUAAAUCAGUAUGGGUGUCACUAUGACCCCCAAACUGAUAAAAGGGAGGUUAAAUCCUCCCGCAUGCCCCUACUCACGGCAUGCCAGUGGCUGCUCGCUGUAAUUUAAAACAACUAGUGACUGAGCAGCUAUUGCUGCCCAGUCGCUAGUGCAAUAAGGGUGGACCUAGCACAGGUCUCCCCGUUCCCUCAUGGUGGG